RNAcentral lists this ribosomal RNA (228 nucleotides) under uncultured bacterium. Its description in RNAcentral is "partial 16S ribosomal RNA". It matches the Rfam family "Bacterial small subunit ribosomal RNA", at positions 568 to 796 of the family's 1533-position model. The record is from RNAcentral.
UGCGUAGGUGGUUUGAUAAGUCAGAAGUGAAAGGCAUUGGCUCAACCAAUGUAAGCUUUUGAAACUGUCGGACUUGAGUGCAGGAGAGGUAAGUGGAAUUCCUAGUGUAGAGGUGAAAUUCGUAGAUAUUAGGAGGAACACCAGUGGCGAAGGCGACUUACUGGACUGUAACUGACACUGAGGCACGAAAGCGUGGGGAGCAAACAGGAUUAGAUACCCUGGUAGUCC